This 65-nucleotide transfer RNA is filed under the name Tarsiger cyanurus (orange-flanked bush-robin). RNAcentral's name for it is "Luscinia cyanura (orange-flanked bush-robin) tRNA-Ser". The record is from RNAcentral. Lineage: Eukaryota; Metazoa; Chordata; Aves; Passeriformes; Muscicapidae.
GGAGGAGGCUUAGCCAACAAGAACUGCUAACUCUUGCAUCUGAGUCUAAACCCUCAGCCUCCUUA